UUCCCAAUUCAGAAUCGCCUCCUCCAUCAUCCUCAGGUUGCAGGUGCUUCAAGAUUCAACCAACUACGGUGGUGGCUUGAAUGGAGUUGCCCACAUUCAAGAGGCCGUGCUGCUCAAGCAGAUGGAGUCUUUGCAAAAGCUCUUGCUUUCCAUGAACAACACCAUGGGGUUUUGUGAUUUUGGUUCCAGAAUGUUGGGUUUUGUUUGAAUGUGGUUUAAGUGUGUGCAGCUGGGUUUGUGCAGCUGAGUUAGACCGGGUUUGUGCACUUGCUGGGAAGUUCUUGGGCAGCCCAAUUUCGUUGAUAUUCAUGAAACUGUUCCCUGAUAUUCAUAACACAAGACUCUGGCUGGAUUUCAAUGGUGGUGGCCAUGGCCCUUGAAGAACAGGGCCGGCGUGUUAAUAAGAGAAACCAUAAUUUGAGACAAAAUCAAGGGAAGAACAGGGCCGGCAAGAACUGUUCCCUGAUAUUCAUAACACAAGACUAUUACUGUCACAAUUACAAUGCAAAGAACAUAGAAGGUCGUAUUUUCUCCCUCAUAUUAUUGCUUAAGCUCACUCUCAAGUCACUGAAAGUUUGAAACG
Molecule: long non-coding RNA, 583 nt
Organism: Rosa chinensis
Lineage: Eukaryota; Viridiplantae; Streptophyta; Magnoliopsida; Rosales; Rosaceae
Exons: 3
Source: RefSeq, a predicted model, not a curated record